RNAcentral lists this ribosomal RNA (312 nucleotides) under Candidatus Avisuccinivibrio stercorigallinarum. RNAcentral describes it as "bacterial SSU rRNA". It matches the Rfam family "Bacterial small subunit ribosomal RNA", at positions 1 to 319 of the family's 1533-position model. The record is from RNAcentral. Lineage: Bacteria; Pseudomonadati; Pseudomonadota; Gammaproteobacteria; Aeromonadales; Succinivibrionaceae.
UUUAUGAAGAGUUUGAUCAUGGCUCAGAUUGAACGCUGGCGGCAGGCCUAAUACAUGCAAGUCGAACGGUAACAGGGAGGAAGCUUGCUUCCUUUGCUGACGAGUGGCGGACGGGUGAGUAAGACCUGGGAAACUGCCUGAUAGAGGGGGACAACAUCUGGAAACGGAUGCUAAUACCGCAUGAACCCUGAGGGGGAAAGACGAAAGUCGCUAUCAGAUGUGCCCAGGAGGGAUUAGCUGGUAGGUGAGGCAACGGCUCACCUAGGCGACGAUCUCUAGCUGGUCUGAGAGGAUGAUCAGCCACAUUGGGAC